This 460-nucleotide ribosomal RNA is filed under the name uncultured bacterium. RNAcentral's name for it is "partial 16S ribosomal RNA". It matches the Rfam family "Bacterial small subunit ribosomal RNA", at positions 338 to 795 of the family's 1533-position model. The record is from RNAcentral.
CCUACGGGAGGCAGCAGUGAGGAAUAUUGGUCAAUGGACGAGAGUCUGAACCAGCCAAGUAGCGUGAAGGAUGACUGCCCUAUGGGUUGUAAACUUCUUUUAUAUGGGAAUAAACUGUUCCACGUGUGGGAUUUUGUAUGUACCAUAUGAAUAAGGAUCGGCUAACUCCGUGCCAGCAGCCGCGGUAAUACGGAGGAUCCGAGCGUUAUCCGGAUUUAUUGGGUUUAAAGGGAGCGUAGGUGGAUUGUUAAGUCAGUUGUGAAAGUUUGCGGCUCAACCGUAAAAUUGCAGUUGAAACUGGCAGGCUUGAGUACAGUAGAGGUGGGCGGAAUUCGUGGUGUAGCGGUGAAAUGCUUAGAUAUCACGAAGAACUCCGAUUGCGAAGGCAGCUCACUGUACUGUAACUGACACUGAGGCUCGAAAGUGCGGGUAUCAAACAGGAUUAGAUACCCUUGUAGUC